UAUAGGUGCUACACACAUUCAUAAACUAAAGUUGAAUAACCAAUCAGCAACCAUCUGAGUAGAAUCUUAUCUAAAAUCUGUUCGGAGAAUGAAGAGUCUCAUCAUCGCCAGUGUUCUCGUGGUUGCUAUGGCAAUGAUGGCAACAGCCGCACCUAAUCCAGAUCAACCAAUACGGAGGAGUGCAGACCUAAAUCGCAUUCAAGAGUUGCUCAUGGAAAUGGCAGAGGCAAAGGAAGAAGAAACUCCCAGUCAGGAAAUGUGUAUAGACCAAAAUGGGAAAGGAGCAACCAGUGUGUGUGGG
Molecule: long non-coding RNA, 301 nt
Organism: Halichondria panicea
Lineage: Eukaryota; Metazoa; Porifera; Demospongiae; Suberitida; Halichondriidae
Exons: 3
Source: RefSeq, a predicted model, not a curated record